Molecule: unclassified non-coding RNA, 1191 nt
Filed under: Hevea brasiliensis (rubber tree)
Lineage: Eukaryota; Viridiplantae; Streptophyta; Magnoliopsida; Malpighiales; Euphorbiaceae
Source: RNAcentral
AGCAGCCAUGCAUUCAAGGCAGGUUUGUCAUAACUUGUGUAUGACUUCUUGGAUUAUAAUUUGUUCUACUGCAUUACAUAGUAAACCAAAACUUGCUGCCUUCGGAACAACAUCGCAUUUCAGGACCAGUUUAAUCUCGAAGGUAUUUGUUUUUUUAUAGCUUACCUUAGAUGUCUGUAGUUUUUGCUUCCAUCCGGUACCCAGUCUUGAAAAUUGUAGCAUGAUUUACAUAGAUAACAUGAUUGAUUUGAAGUUUGAUAAAAUAAAAUUAUUUAAAAAGUUAUGAAUUUGUGAAAAUCUUGUUAGUUUUACCCUAAACCUGGUGAUAUGCAUAUAUAAUACCCAUGUGUUAAUAUGAAAUAGGAAUUCACCAAUUGCUAGGCUAAAGUGGAUGUGUUUAAUUGAUACACAACAGCAUCUAUAACCGAUUAAAUGUAUAAAUUUCACUUGAGCAAUUUAUCCUACAAGAAUGUAGGUGGCCAUGCAAAAGUAGGUUGUUCUAGGCUUUUAGCAGCUGGUAAAGCUAGUAUGCACUAUUAGUAAGAUUCUAUAAUGGGGUGAGAAAUAAACAUUUUUGUAUGGUAUCAUAUGUCAACUUUUGGAGUAGGAAUUUAGAAUUUUUUAUAGGCAUAUUAAAUUUAUAAAAAUGGAAUUAGUUAUCAUAAUAUAUUUUAUUUUAUAUAAAAUAUUAAAUGUUUUUGGGCUGGUUUUGGUAGUAUAUGGGUACUGGGUAGUGUGAAUUGGAUUUUGGAUGGUUAUAGGUGCUAAGGGACGAAUUUUAAUUGGGUUUUGUCGUUGGAACAAGUUCAGGCAGUAAAAUUGUCAAAUGGGUAUGGUUAUGUGUGGGACAAUUUUCACAUACACCUUACUCAUUGCCAUUCCUGUGAGGGAAGUCUUAUGUUUGGGAGUACUUGGGAUUCAUUUUAUUUACUAAAUUGGGGAGAAGGAGUUGGAGCCCUCGUUAUAUGUUGUAUUUAAAUCUUCUGCCUUUCUACAAUUAAGUUCAAAUUUUCUUCCUGUCUAUUUGGAAAGGAACAUGAAAAGGAAAAUCCUGUAGAACUUAAUCAUCUUCAGGUGUAUUUCUUCUUAAGUCCUUUGAAGUUCUUGAUUAUUGUCAGCUUACAUGUGAAUUGUGGACGGUUUCAGGUCUUGCAUGGUGCAGAAAGAGGAGAGCCAUCUGCAUUGCUAUUU